RNAcentral lists this ribosomal RNA (126 nucleotides) under Citrobacter portucalensis. RNAcentral describes it as "partial 16S ribosomal RNA". It matches the Rfam family "Bacterial small subunit ribosomal RNA", at positions 1 to 117 of the family's 1533-position model. The record is from RNAcentral. Lineage: Bacteria; Pseudomonadati; Pseudomonadota; Gammaproteobacteria; Enterobacterales; Enterobacteriaceae.
UUAAAUUGAAGAGUUUGAUCAUGGCUCAGAUUGAACGCUGGCGGCAGGCCUAACACAUGCAAGUCGAACGGUAGCACAGAGGAGCUUGCUCCUUGGGUGACGAGUGGCGGACGGGUGAGUAAUGUC